Molecule: long non-coding RNA, 1320 nt
Filed under: Phoenix dactylifera (date palm)
Lineage: Eukaryota; Viridiplantae; Streptophyta; Magnoliopsida; Arecales; Arecaceae
Description: long non-coding RNA (PDAC_LNC005369)
Source: RNAcentral
UUAAAGGCAGGAUGGUGUUGGAUAGCAAAUACACCAGUAUCGAACUGAGCACCGAACAACACUAGGUUGACUCUGCCCAUCAUGGAAAGAGCAUCCAUCUACCGGCCCUCAAGCCUAUGCCUAAUGCUCUGCUCCAUGGAGGAACAAUCUCUGCUGCGAAUACGCUGGCCAGUGAUAGGCACAUCCAAAUAUCUUAGAACACCGUCCUGCUUAUCCAGCCUCAGAAUCUCCUUGAUAUAGGAGAAGUUGAGAAAAUUGGAGGGCUUUUAUUUAGGUUUUAUGAUACAAGAGAGGUUGAGAAAAUUGGGGUACUUUAUUUUGAUUCUCUUCUUUGGAAGCACUAUAGUUUUAAUGCUCCAAUUUUUAUUAUUCAAGACAUUAUUAAACACCUCUACAAUGUUGGUGUAGCGAUGGAUGCAAUUUUUAUUAUUAAACACCUCUAUAACGAAGUCGUUGUGGUUGGACAAUCUGCAGGCAUAGUGAUGGAGGCUGUAGGAUUUAGGAAUCGAACAACUUAUAGUCUUAUUAUACCCAUCAACAUGAGUUGCUUGGUCACAAGUAGGGUGAGGUCUAGGUUUGGGUAAAUCUAGACCUAACCCUAGAUCUAGGUCUUUUUCCAUACCCUGCACAAGGAUCAGGUUGGGUUCGGGUCUGGAGAAAAUAACAUCAUUUCACAUUAGAGUUUUCAAGUCGAGUUCGGCGGCAUUCACACUUUGAGCUGGGAUUCUCGCUCGCAUUUUUUGCUAUGGUGGGCCCUCCUCAAUCACGGUUGUCGUCGCAUACAGGGACGGCUGUGAUUAGUAAAUAGGCCCUCUCUAGUCAAUCAACCAAAUGGAGAGGAUCUGAAUUUUGACACUUUAAUAAAAAUUUAUUCAUAAAACGUCCAAUUAUAUGCUGCAAAAAUUAAAUCCUAAGAAGCACUUGGUAGUUGAUUAUACGACGGACAUUGGCAAAAAAAAUUUAAAUACACUUAAUCCAAAGUUAAGUACAAACACCAUAACAUGUUUAAUGUGAUUAGUUUUAUCAUUUAUACUUUAUUAAGUUACAGUAUUAAGUUUCAUAUGUUAAGAAUUUAGAAAUAGAAAGAUAUGUAAAUAAAACUAGAAUUAUAUAUAUAAAUUAAUCCAGUAAUUAGCUGGAACCAGAUUAGGUUAGGUCUAAAAAUCUCAAAACUAGAUCUCACCCUAAUUUUCAAUGAAUUCGGCUUCAGAUCCAUACCACCCCAUUUAGGAGUGGUCAAUGUUGCGUUCAUAUCAAGGUUGGGUCAAGGCUGUGUCAGAAAUCAAGUUUGCAUGUUGGAGUAAGUGACCAGUACCCUAG